Molecule: ribosomal RNA, 391 nt
Filed under: Clostridioides difficile
Lineage: Bacteria; Bacillati; Bacillota; Clostridia; Peptostreptococcales; Peptostreptococcaceae
Description: partial 23S ribosomal RNA
Rfam family: Bacterial large subunit ribosomal RNA
Source: RNAcentral
GGUCAAGUUAUUAAGGGUGCAGGGCGGAUGCCUUGGCACUAGGAGCCGAUGAAGGACGUGAUAAGCUGCGAUAAGCUUCGGGGAGUUGCACGUAAACUUUGAUCCGAAGAUUUCCGAAUGAGGAAACUCACUUAGAGUAAUGUCUAAGUAUCAUUAAGUGAAUACAUAGCUUAAUGAGGGGAACUCAGGGAACUGAAACAUCUAAGUACCUGAAGGAAGAGAAAGAAAUUCGAUUCCGUAAGUAGCGGCGAGCGAACGCGGAUUAGCCCAAACCAAUAAAGUUUUCUUUAUUGGGGUUGCGGACAUAUCAUAACGAAGAGGUAUCGUAAUUGAAGAGGUUUGGAAAGACCCACCACAGAAGGUAAUAGUCCUGUAUGUUAAACGAGAAGAC